GCCCACCAUGUUCCUGCCCAAGCGAGGCCACGCCAGCCGAGGGUACCCUGUGCAGAGGGCCAGUGGGGCCCCAUACAGCCAACACCUGCCAUAAAAGACGAGUUGGACCACGCAAGUCUUAGUUUGAAUGAUACAUUCACUCAGCCAGUAUUUAUCAAGCAUCCCCUACAUGGCGAAGGCUUGGGACCCGAGAGGGAGGCUGGAAUCGAGUGGCAACAGCUCGCCGCACACUGUGUGGUAAGAACCUUCAGGAAGAGGCCCAGAGGCCUGGAAAGCACGUGACAGCACAGUUGGGUCUGGGCUGGGGGACGGUGUCCGGGAAGUCAUGUUGGAUUGGAAAGCUGAAAGAGAAGUUGGUGUUAAACUAUGUGAAAUAGAGAAUGAGGCAUUCCAGGAGGAGGAAGCAGCUUGUGGUGGAAAGGAGUAUGGCAUGUUUGAGAAGUCAGAACAGCAGAUAAAUGGAUGGACCUAGAGUCUGUCAUACAGAGUGAAGGAAGUCAAAGAGGGAAACAAGCAUAGCAUAUUAACGCAUAUAUAUGGAAUCCAGAAAAAUGGUAUAGACGAACCUAUUUGCAGGGCAGGACAGAGACCCAGACGUAGAGAGCAGACCUGUGGGCACGGGAUGGGGAGGGCAGUGGACCAAGUUGGGAGAGGAGCGCUGACAUAUAUGCGCCCCCACGUGUGAAACUGAUCGCGAGGGGGCGCUGCUGUGUAACAGGGAGCACAGCUCCGUGCUCUGUGAUGAGCGGAGGUGGGGCGGGCUGAGAGAGGGAGGAGACAGAUGUGAACAUAAAGCGGAUUCACGUUGUUGUACCGCAGAAACUGACAGCAUCAUAAAGCAGUUACACAUCAAUAAAAAAAUUUUAAACAGAAUUCAAAAUAUAAACGAAGUCAACAGGGUGUAGACAGAGGGGGAGAUGAAAGGCCGACUCUGCUGGCAUUCUGCUUCUAACCCCUGGCUGCUCUCUGCUCCCUCCGCACUCCAGAGGCAGCACGGAGGUCCGUCGGCUGGCACGGUGCGGUGGGGCAGCUGGUGUUGUGAAUCAGGCCGUCGCCAAUCAGAGAACGGCUACUUCACAACACCAGGGUCACACCCCACCCCAGGCAGCGCUCCCAGCUCCAGCCCCCAUGCAGCCUCCACCUCGGCCGAUGGCCAUCGCUGGGGCACCGCCAAGCCCCCCAGAACCGCAGCAGGCGGCUUUACGGUUGACACCUCACGCUGUGCAGACACCACCGCAAACACAGGAGCCCUGAGGCGGUUUCUCCCCAGACGCAGACAGCUCCACUUGGAAGUGAAAGGCACUCCCACCAGCAUCGGCUUCCUGCAGAGAAAAUGGAGCCACCAGCUUCCCACGUGUCCAAGUAGGCACCAUUCAGGGUGUGGUCCACGGUGGUGGCAUCAGCACGCUGGGAAGGUGGCCCCCACACGCCUGCUGCAUCACAGUCCUGGGGCCUGGAGCCCAGCCUCGGCUCAGGGACUGGUGUUAACACGACCAGCUCCUGUUGGUCGCCCCACAUCCUCUCCCGCUUCCAUUCCAACCUCACGUCUUCUUGUUCCAGCCAGAAUGGUCUUUUCCAAACACGUGCCUGUAUCGUGGGAACCCCUCCACUCCCUGCCUUAA
This is a long non-coding RNA of Bos indicus x Bos taurus (hybrid cattle), 1622 nucleotides long. Lineage: Eukaryota; Metazoa; Chordata; Mammalia; Artiodactyla; Bovidae. The record is from Ensembl.